AGGAAACGACACAGAUUAGAGAGGUUAAAGGUUUAAAUGAUGAAUCAAAACUGUACAUUUUUGAAGCCAUCUGUGAAACACCAUGGAGGCUCUGUUAGUUUUUGGAGUUGCGUGUCAGUCAGUGUUGUUGAUCUUGUCUGAAUGGAUGAAAUUAUGAACACAGAGGAGAUCAGAUUUUGAUCCACCAUGAAAGAAUCUGAUCGGUAACAUCAUCAUUUUUCAGGCAAUGAUCCUGAUCUUAAUAGAAAAACACACGAGGGGAGGCCGGUCCGUGACUGAUACCCACACGGCUUCAGCAUUAAUGAUCAUUUCCAUGUAAAUGUGAAGCGAUUCAGACAGUUUCCUCCUGCUCACUGGGACAGGAAGUACAACCCUUUUUAAGACUAGCAGGAAAACCUCGGGCUCGUGUGUGACAGCGUUGCGUUUACUCGCUCCUUCUUCUGACGGAUUUUCUAGUUUAUAAAGUUUCGUUUUACCUCAGCCCUUAAAGAGAUGGUAGAAACAACUUCCGAGCGAAAACUCUGCAUUGUUAGAAGGUUUAACGAGGAUAUCCAGACGACUUAGAAGAAGUAGGACCGGGAGAGGACCAGGCCUCUGCUCUGCUUUAGAAGGUUCCGGAAAACCCCGCCCCCUUCUCUGACGUCAACCCCCCCGUGCGGGACUCUUCAGAAGAGCGAUCAGCUGCAGUCUGCUCAGCAGUGAGAAAAGAAGACGUCAGUGAUGGACGAAUCAUCGUCAAAGAGAAGAACAACAAAGACGAGAGACGUACAAAGAUGAUCCACCAGUGCUGCCCAGUUUGAGGACAUUUCCAGUCACAUUAAUGGGGGACAGGAGACGCAGCUUCCAUCAAAGCUGGUAUGAAAGUCAUCGUUGGAUUCUCUGUAAUUAUGGACUCUGCCUGUUUCAGGCCACCAAAUAUGUCAGACGUGGAUUUUAAACAUUGUGCACAUGCACAGUAUGUGAAACCUUUACUUUGAAAUUCAUUUGGAUAUUUAUUUUUGAUUUUAUGUUAGUGCCUAAAAUAUUUUCAAUUAAUAUAUAAAACAAUGAAAUAUUGCUCUCCUUGUUUUGUUCGGUAACCCUGGGUGUGGGAGGUGGAAUACUAUACAGCAAUACUGAGACUGAAGUAAAGGUAUGAGGAAGAGCAGUAUGUGAAACCUUUACUUUGAAAUUCUUUUGGAUCUUUAUAUAAAUGAGUGAAAAUAAAUUCACUUAAUAUAUUAAACAUUUAAAUAUUAGCCUGCGGUUAGUUUGGUCUGGAUCUGCCACUGCCCCGUGAUAAUCGUGGAAUACUGAGACUGAAGUAAAAGUAUAAGGAAGAGGGGAAAAACAUUAACAUUUCUCUUUUUAUAUAAACUGUGUGAGGAUGGAGGAAUUUUCCUCAUCCUCACUCUCCAGGAAGUGUCAGCAGACAGUCAGAUUCAUGAUUUCAUGUGUUUAAUCUUGUGGUUAAAACGUGUCAAACACAAAGCUUCACGUCUCUGUGGAUGUUGUGAUCUGAAACUUUGUCAUUUACUACAAAUGCAUCAGCAGAAAAUUGCAGUUACUUCAUCCACAAUAAAGACAUCACACAGGUUAACUUCAGCCACAAACUAAAAGCAGGAGGAACAAUUUCACUUUCACAACUGUCUUUAUGUAAAAUGUGUUUCAGAUCUCCUGAACAGACUGUGAGCAUUACAAAACUGACAGUAAAUGCAUCACAGAGGCAUCUGUUUACAUUAAAGUGCCCCCUGGUUGUGGUCAUUUGAAUAAAGUCUGAAUUUUAAUGAGAAGCUGAUUAAAAAACAGAGAAACUGA
Molecule: non-coding RNA, 1797 nt
Organism: Maylandia zebra (zebra mbuna)
Lineage: Eukaryota; Metazoa; Chordata; Actinopteri; Cichliformes; Cichlidae
Source: RefSeq, a predicted model, not a curated record